CAGAGGUGGCAAGCGUUGUUCGGAAUUACUGGGCGUAAAGGGCGAGUAGGUGGCCUUCUAAGUCAGACGUGAAAUCCCCCGGCUUAACCUGGGAACUGCGUCUGAUACUGGAAGGCUUGAGUAUGGGAGAGGGAUGCAGAAUUCCAGGUGUAGCGGUGAAAUGCGUAGAUAUCUGGAGGAAUACCUGUGGCGAAGGCGGCAUCCUGGACCAUAACUGACACUGAAUCGCGAAAGCUAGGGGAGCAAACGGGAUUAGAUACCCCGGUAGUCCUAGCCCUAAACGAUGAAUGCUUGGUGUGGCGGGUAUCGAUCCCUGCCGUGCCGAAGCUAACGCAUUAAGCAUUCCGCCUGGGGAGUACGGUCGCAAGGCUG
RNAcentral lists this ribosomal RNA (372 nucleotides) under uncultured organism. Its description in RNAcentral is "bacterial SSU rRNA". It matches the Rfam family "Bacterial small subunit ribosomal RNA", at positions 526 to 896 of the family's 1533-position model. The record is from RNAcentral.